This 102-nucleotide Y RNA is filed under the name Propithecus coquereli (Coquerel's sifaka). RNAcentral's name for it is "Y RNA (ENSPCOG00000005960.1)". It matches the Rfam family "Y RNA". From Rfam's summary of the family: Y RNAs are components of the Ro ribonucleoprotein particle (Ro RNP), in association with Ro60 and La proteins. The Y RNAs and Ro60 and La proteins are well conserved, but the function of the Ro RNP is not known. Lineage: Eukaryota; Metazoa; Chordata; Mammalia; Primates; Indriidae. The record is from Rfam by way of RNAcentral.
AGUUGGUCAGAGUGCAGUGGUGUUUACAACUAAUUGAUCACAACCAGUUACAGAUUCCUUUGUUCCUUCUCCACUCCCACUGCUCCACUGGACCAGUCUUUA